Non-coding RNA from Mycena leptocephala, 91 nucleotides. The record is from the annotation of a GenBank genome assembly. NCBI's taxonomy places the organism in Eukaryota, Fungi, Basidiomycota, Agaricomycetes, Agaricales, Mycenaceae.
GGCUCGGUAGCAGAUGGACCGCAUCUGCUUUCCAUCACAAGUGUGCGAGCAAAUAAUGCAGAUUUCGCCUGUUCGACUCAGGCUCGAGCCA